GUUGGGUGCUGUGGCGCAUGCCUGUAGUCUCAGCUACUUGGGAGGCUGAGACUGAGGAUCGCUUGAGUCCAGGAGUUUGGGGCUGUCAUGUGCUAUGCUGAUCAGGUGUCCGCACUAAGUUUGGCAUUAAUGUAGUAACCACCAAGUUGCCUAAAGGGGGUGAACCGGCCCAGGUCGGAAAUGGAGCAGGUCAAAACUCCCAUGCUGAUCAUGAAUGUUUUUAUCGUUUUUGCAACACUAGUCACUAUCAUUCCAUGCAUCCUGAAAUAUGUCUGAUAACCCUCUCCCU
Oryctolagus cuniculus (rabbit) is the source of this 289-nucleotide unclassified non-coding RNA. It matches the Rfam family "Metazoan signal recognition particle RNA". Rfam says of the family: The signal recognition particle (SRP) is a universally conserved ribonucleoprotein. It is involved in the co-translational targeting of proteins to membranes. The eukaryotic SRP consists of a 300-nucleotide 7S RNA and six proteins: SRPs 72, 68, 54, 19, 14, and 9. The record is from Ensembl. NCBI's taxonomy places the organism in Eukaryota, Metazoa, Chordata, Mammalia, Lagomorpha, Leporidae.